Molecule: small RNA, 35 nt
Filed under: Caulobacter vibrioides NA1000
Lineage: Bacteria; Pseudomonadati; Pseudomonadota; Alphaproteobacteria; Caulobacterales; Caulobacteraceae
Description: small non-coding RNA
Source: RNAcentral
AUAGCGUUCCGUCACCCCCUGGGUCCCGGAUAGCC